This is a non-coding RNA of Nomascus leucogenys (northern white-cheeked gibbon), 421 nucleotides long. NCBI's taxonomy places the organism in Eukaryota, Metazoa, Chordata, Mammalia, Primates, Hylobatidae. The record is from RefSeq and is a predicted model, not a curated record.
AUGGGUGAUGUUGAGAAAGGCAAGAAGGUUUUUAUUAUAAAGUGUUCCCAGUGCCACACCGUUGAAAAGGGAGGCAAGCACAAGACUGGGCCAAAUCUCCAUGGUGUCUUCGGGCGGAAGACAAGUCAGUCCCCUGGAUACUCUUACACAGCCGCCAAUAAGAACAAAGGCAUCAUCUGGGGAGAGGAUACACUGAUGGAGUAUUUGGAGAAUCCCAAGAAGUACAUCCCUGGAACAAAAAUGAUCUUUGUCGGCAUUAAGAAGAAGGAAGAAAGGGCAGACUUGAUAGCUUAUCUCAAAAAAGCUACUAAUGAGUAAUAAUUGGCCACUGCCUUAUUUAUUACAAAACAGAAAUGUCUCAUGACUUUUUUAUGUGUACCAUCCUUGAAUAGAUCUCAUACACCAGAAUUCAGAUCAUGAA